This 515-nucleotide ribosomal RNA is filed under the name uncultured bacterium. RNAcentral's name for it is "partial 16S ribosomal RNA". It matches the Rfam family "Bacterial small subunit ribosomal RNA", at positions 28 to 523 of the family's 1533-position model. The record is from RNAcentral.
GAUGAACGCUGGCGGCGUGCCUAAUACAUGCAAGUCGAGCGAAUGGAUUAAGAGCUUGCUCUUAUGAAGUUAGCGGCGGACGGGUGAGUAACACGUGGGUAACCUGCCCAUAAGACUGGGAUAACUCCGGGAAACCGGGGCUAAUACCGGAUAACAUUUUGAACCGCAUGGUGCGAAAUUGAAAGGCGGCUUCGGCUGUCACUUAUGGAUGGACCCGCGUCGCAUUAGCUAGUUGGUGAGGUAACGGCGCACCAAGGCAACGAUGCGUAGCCGACCGGAGAGGGUGAUCGGCCACACUGGGACUGAGACCCGGCCCGGACUCCUACGGGAGGCAGCAGUAGGGAAUCUUCCGCAAUGGACGAAAGUCUGACGGAGCAACGCCGCGUGAGUGAUGAAGGCUUUCGGGUCGUAAAACUCUGUUGUUAGGGAAGAACAAGUGCUAGUUGAAUAAGCUGGCACCUUGACGGUACCUAACCGGAAAGCCACGGCUAACUACGUGCCAGCCGCCGCCGUAA